This 253-nucleotide ribosomal RNA is filed under the name uncultured bacterium. RNAcentral describes it as "partial 16S ribosomal RNA". It matches the Rfam family "Bacterial small subunit ribosomal RNA", at positions 524 to 776 of the family's 1533-position model. The record is from RNAcentral.
UACGGAGGGGGCUAGCGUUGUUCGGAAUUACUGGGCGUAAAGCGCACGUAGGCGGGUUUUUAAGUCAGGGGUGAAAUCCUGGAGCUCAACUCCAGAACUGCCUUUGAUACUGAAGAUCUUGAGUCCGGGAGAGGUGAGUGGAACUGCGAGUGUAGAGGUGAAAUUCGUAGAUAUUCGGAAGAACACCAGUGGCGAAGGCGACUCACUGGCCCGUUACUGACGCUGAUGCGCGAAAGCGUGGGGAGCAAACAGG